UACGAAGGGGGCUAGCGUUGUUCGGAAUUACUGGGCGUAAAGGGCGCGUAGGCGGCCAUCUUUGUCAGGCGUGAAAGCCCUGGGCUCAACCUGGGAAUUGCGCUUGGGACGGGGUGGCUUGAGAUCGGGAGAGGAGAGUGGAAUUCCCAGUGUAGAGGUGAAAUUCGUAGAUAUUGGGAAGAACACCGGUGGCGAAGGCGGCGCUCUGGACCGAGACUGACGCUGAGGCGCGAAAGCGUGGGGAGCAAACAGG
RNAcentral lists this ribosomal RNA (253 nucleotides) under uncultured bacterium. RNAcentral's name for it is "partial 16S ribosomal RNA". It matches the Rfam family "Bacterial small subunit ribosomal RNA", at positions 524 to 776 of the family's 1533-position model. The record is from RNAcentral.